UUCGGAUCGCAGGCCGCAACCCGCCUGCGUGAAGUCGGAAUCGCUAGUAAUCGCGGAUCAGCAUGCCGCGGUGAAUACGUUCCCGGGCCUUGUACACACCGCCCGUCACACCAUGAGAGUCGGGAACACCCGAAGUCCGUAGCCUAACCGAAAGGAGGGCGCGGCCGAAGGUGGGUUCGAUAAUUGGGGUGAAGUCGUAACAAGGUACC
RNAcentral lists this ribosomal RNA (209 nucleotides) under uncultured bacterium. RNAcentral describes it as "partial 16S ribosomal RNA". It matches the Rfam family "Bacterial small subunit ribosomal RNA", at positions 1292 to 1500 of the family's 1533-position model. The record is from RNAcentral.